ACAAACAGCCCCCAGCCCGCCCGCCCGCCGCCCGCCCGGCAGAUUAAUGGGCGCGCACAGCUAGCCGGCCCGGCUCUCUUCCCGAACGCCAGCGGCGGGCACGGCCCUUUCAGUGGCGAGCAGAUCAGGCCAGAGUAGGGACACUAAUGCUUGGGCCGCCUCAAAGGCCCCGCCAGGUCCCCUCCUUCCUCCUCCCCUUUUUGCUUUAUUGAAUUUUGCGGGUUCCCCGCCCCUCCUCCUCCAAACAGGAAACCUGAAGGUCCUGCUCCAGGAGGGGCAGUGACAAAGGUGGCUUUGCUCCCUGCCGGCCUGCACUCCAGGCACGGCCCAGAGUUGCCCCUCCCCUAGCGCUCCCCUAUUCGUGGGUGCGAGUUCUUGAGCUGGAGCAAGGGCCAUGAGAAACCAGGCCUUCACUCUAUGCUCUUCACUCGUGCGCCUUAGGAAUCGGUGAACUCCCUCAUUCUCUCCUUCUCCGCUAGCACCAGGGGCCUGGGCCUUGCAGCCCAGAGCUGAAGGAUCACCUCGAGCUGACCAGGACUCAGCCAAACAAUUCCACCCACGCACCUAUUCCCCCUCCCAGCGCUUCAGACACCUCUCUCAUCGAAAAACCGGGCGAAGGGAAGCCGGCAACGAGCGGAGAACUCUGGCUGAAUUAACGGUGGCUCCCAGAAGCUCCUGCCCCUCUGACAGCUGUCGCUUGGGCAGCCCGAGAGAAGAAUUGUCCUCUUUCCUGGUGCCAGAGGACGCAGGAAAUUAGCCAGGUUGCGAGUUGCAAAGCUGCUGCCGCGGCGCCGGGAACGGAGCGCGCCCAAUCUCCAGCGGGAGCCGCCAGGCCUGGCCUGGCCGGGGCUUCCCUUCGCUCGCCAUCUCCGGACAAAGCACAGCCGAGCCCGGCUGGAAGGCAGAGCUCCGAAGCAGGCAGGACGGAGCGGAGCAAAAGAAUGCGGCUCUAUUCUCGCAAGGGAAAUUAUAAAAAAGUUCAUGUUCACGGUUCUCAUCCACAUGACCGACAGCGGCCAAUGGAAGGGCCGAACAACUCAUAAAGUUGUAUUGCAAAGUUGUAAAUUUUCAUAAACAACAACGGAUUUAUGACCCUUUCCCCAUCACUGAGAGGAGGCAGCUCUUACACCGGCGCCAUCUUACCACCGAGGCCGCCCCGACUUGGGGCCUCAGGUUUUACAGACCCUUUUGGGCCAGGUUUUACUAAAAGAGCCAUAAGAAGCGGGCCCAGCCCAGGCAGGAGACUGGAGACGAGGUCUUGCAGGCGGAACUCAGGAUGCUCUGAGCUGCCCGCACAACCCCUGGACCUUCACCCCUCGCCCCUUCCCCGCAUCCAGCUGCCCCAGCCCCUGCCCAGGCUGCGUAGCCUAGCGGGGGUCUGCGGUCCUAGCCCCUCCCCGCGCCACCUACUGCAGUGCCGGACCCUGGGGCCCCCUCGCCUGGUCUGCAGGCGGGGUGGGGACCUUAAAUCCCAUUUCCUAGCCUGGGGCUGGGUUCAGGGCGCAUGCGAAUCCGGAAUCAGCUCUGGGUAAUGCCCCUUUCCAAGCCCACUGCUCAGCCUUAGAGGAAAGUGUGGAUUUGAAAUUUCCUCAUGGAAUUGAUGGAGGUUUUUAGGUAGAUUCAUAGAAUAUAACGUAUCUACCAAAGAUUCCGUUUUCAAGGGAUCUAGAAGAUGUUAGUGCACACGCAAAAACCAGACAAACGUCUCUACACGGAUAAAGGCACAUAUACAAUUAUGCACACAGGGAAGGGCAUACACUCUAUUGUGGGCACAGAAUGACAUGCAAUUAUGGACACACAAAAACACAUGCACCCAAUUAUGGACACCAAAAUAUAUACAAUUGUGGAAUUAGGUAAAAACACACACACAGAAAUACAUACACAGAAAAAUAAGCACAUACUCAUACAAAUACACACAUAAAAAUACAUUAAAAAGAUACAUGACACCAAUACAUGGGUACCCAACACUUGGACCAUCACAAGGACAGCCACCCCACUUUUGCUUCCCCACUGCCCCCUGCCCUCCAGCCAUACUCACCUCCCCUUUCCCAGUCCCCUCUGGAUAAGGCAGUCCACAUUUUUCUUUGUCACCACGCAUCUUUAUUUUCGGUUACAUAAAACACAGCUGGGCUGGGAAGUGUGC
This 2143-nucleotide long non-coding RNA is filed under the name Homo sapiens (human). RNAcentral's name for it is "HSALNT0339922". Lineage: Eukaryota; Metazoa; Chordata; Mammalia; Primates; Hominidae. The record is from RNAcentral.